GUGCCAGCCGCCGCGGUAAUACGUAGGGUGCGAGCGUUAAUCGGAAUUACUGGGCGUAAAGCGUGCGCAGGCGGUUUUACAAGCUGGAUGUGAAAGCCCCGGGCUCAACCUGGGAGGUGCAUUCAGGACUGUGAAGCUCGAGUGCGGCAGAGGGAGGUGGAAUUCCAGGUGUAGCAGUGAAAUGCGUAGAGAUCUGGAGGAACACCGAUGGCGAAGGCAGCCUCCUGGGCCGACACUGACGCUCAUGCACGAAAGCGUGGGGAGCAAACAGGAUUAGAAACCCCCGUAGUCC
This 292-nucleotide ribosomal RNA is filed under the name uncultured bacterium. RNAcentral's name for it is "partial 16S ribosomal RNA". It matches the Rfam family "Bacterial small subunit ribosomal RNA", at positions 505 to 796 of the family's 1533-position model. The record is from RNAcentral.